UUAAACAAGGAUGCCUUAAGAAGGCUAGCACAAAAGCAACAACGACCGAAGAGGCAAGGCCUCCUGCCCGGGACCUCCUAAACUAACUCCUGGUCGUCGGCGAUCUUCACGUAGUAGCAUCCAUCGGUGGUGGCAUCUAGCUCCAAGGAUCCACCAUCUGGUUGCAUCAACCGGAAAGAAGAAAGAAGGGAGAAAAAGGGUAGCAAAGCAACCGUGAGUACUCAUCCAAAGCACUCGCAAGCAUCAGAUCUAUACUAAGUAUGCAUUGGUAUCAAAUGGAAGGGUUGUAUCUGUGGACUGAACUGUAGAAUGCCAGAAUAGAAGGGGGAAGGCCUAGCCUAUCAAAGACUAGCAUCUUCACGCAGCUCCAAACAUCUUGCAGCAUGUAGAAGAGUAAAUAAUAGCAGUUUAAUAUUUAACAAGCAUGUUGUAACAUUAAUGCCCAGAGAUCCUUCCUCUACUCCCUGCGAGAAAGCAAUCCCGGAGCCACAUAUCUCAAGUAUCCAUUUGUAGUUGUAUAAGAUCAGGAUAUAAGUCUGAACGUCCGUUACCGUGGACACAACUAUUAAUAGAUAAUCUUCCCUGCAAGGGUGCACCACGUUUUCCAACACGCUCGAUCACUCUGGCCGGACACACCUUUUUGGGGUCAAUGCCCGGCCUCGGAAGAUCAACACGUCGCAGCCCUACCUAGGCUCAGCAGAGAGGUCUCCGCCAGUCUACAUCCUAAGCACUCCGGGGUCUGGGCCCAUCGCCCGUUGCACUCCGGAUCGUUGCGUACAGGGCGGGUCCAGGUUCCACCUCUACAUGGAUGGUGCCGGCCCAGCCGUGCCGCACUGCUGAACUGGACGUCUGACAAAGCUUCGGCUGAUAAUGCGACGCCGAGGCCCAUAGCUAUUCUCACGUGGUGGUUGGUGCGUAAAGGCCAGAGGCCAACUCAGAACAAAUACCCAAACCAUAGUGUAUCAUUAGCUUGUGGAGACGAGCAGAGACUCACGAUCGAAAGUGACCCUGUCGUCCCGUCUCGUGGACUUAUGACAAGGGCCUAGAAUGCCCGGCCGUGCCACGUCAUUAUCUUGCGGGUGCUCUCCGGGCCCGCCCGACUUCCACCAAGGUCUCAAGUAAAGUCAAGGUAACUGUGUGUCCAGACAUCAAGGGGAAAACCCGAGGAAUCACCCCCGGUGGAUUCCACUCGAUGUAAUCAUCAAGGUGAACGUAAGAGGGACCACCCUCGAGGUUCACACUUGAGGUGUUGAACGACAGAGCCGUAUCGGGAAUGGUGAAAGAGGAAAUCACCCUCGAUGACCAUGACCGAAAUAGCUACCCUACAGAAUUAUCAUCAGGAGUGCGUUAUGAGGGAUCACCCUCGGCACUCGAUAGUAGCUCUGCAGAGUCGAGCAACUAAAGGGGCGUGAUGUGAUGUGAGGUGUUGGGCUCUUGUCGUCGAUCACGUCGAUCGAGGUGUCGAUGAUGAAACAGGGGCAACAAGGACAAAGUGGGGUCACUGAUGAAUCACUAACCAACCUAUACUAAGCAGUUUAGGAUAAGCAGGUAGGUAACAAUAGCAGGUACAAAAGCAGGCUAUGCAUCAGAAUGGGAGCAAACAAUAACAGUAGCAAAAUCUAAUGCAAGCAUAAGAGUAUAGAAUGAGCGAUAUCGGGAUGAUCAAAGGGGGGGCUUGCCUGGUUGCUCAGACAAGAAGGAGGGUCGUCCGUGACGUGGUCGAUCACAGUGGCAUCAACAGCGGUCUCGGGGUCUAUCGGAGAGAAGAGGGGGAAGAAACAGUAAAUACACAUAAACAUAUGCAUAACAAGACAAUAAGUGGGGCUAGAGGUGUUCUAACGCAGUGCUAGUCGAUACUGGCGAAGGGGGAAACAUCCGGGAAAGUUUUCCCGGUCCCGGACGUUUGUGAGACAGAUGAACCAGAGGGGAAAGUUUGCAUGUUCGCUAUGCUAGGGAUGUGUCGCCGACGAACGGACCGCGUACUCGGAUUUGUCUCGUCGUUCUGAGCAACUUUCAUGUACAAAGUUUUUCUAUCCGAGUUAUAGAUUAUUUUAUAUUAAUUUUCAAAGAUUUAUUGUUUUAUGAAAUUUCCUGGAAUUAAUAAUAAUUCGAGUUGACCAAGUCAAUUUGGCUGGUUAAAAGGGGAGGGUGUGGCCCACAUGCCAUAGACUUUUUACCUAAACAAAUAAAUAAACCUAACUUAUUUAAAAGGGGCCCUCCAUAUCAUCUACUACUAGACUAACUUAGCACUAAAUAAUACUAACUAAACCUAGUAGUGCUAAUCUAAGCAACGGCCAGCCAUUACUGGGCAUAGCCCAACCAGCCACACACACACGCAAGGGCCGGCCAUUCAGUAAUAGCAGCAGCCAACGGUAGCAGGUAGCAGUAGCACCAACAGCAAAGCAGUAGGCGCCAUCGACAGCGACGGCAAGCGGCAAGCAGCAGGAACGGCGGCCGGUGAGCAGCAAGAAGCAGCAGCAGCGGCAAGAGUACCAGCAAAGCAGCAGCCAUAGUAGCAAAGCAAAAGCAGCAAACAGCAGUACAGAGUAGUAGCAACAGGAACUGCAGCAACGCAGCCGCAAGUAGCAGGCAGCAGCUACGAGAGCAGGGCACGACCCAAGAGGACGCGCGCGAGGACGCGGCCUGGGGCGGCCAGAGGCGCGGGAGGGCCGCGGUGGCCGGGGAUGGCCGACGCGGGGCGAGGCCCGACGAGCGGUGGACGGCGCGGCACUGUCGGGCACAGCAGGUCACGCGGCCAGCGGGGCGCCGGCGCAGGGGGCCGAGGGGGCAGCGGCCCUGGGCGGAGGCGACCGGAAAUGGGCGCUAGGGGCGGUGGCGCGCGAGCGCGGGUGAGGCUGCAGGGGAAAGGCGAGGCCGGCGGUGGAGGCGUCGGCUGCGGCGUAUGGCAGCAGCAACAGCCCACGGAAGGGACGGCCAACGGCAGUAGCAUGUACAGCAGCAACGAACAGCAGUGCGGUAGCAAGGGACGGACUACGCAUGCGCGGGCGGCGUGCGAGCAUGCGCGGGAGGAGAGCUCCGGCCACAGCGGACUGCGGAGCCGAAGCUCGCAUGUAACGGUGCUACGGCGACUACGGCGAUGAGGGAAAAGGGAAACGGAGUGGUGCUCACCGAGCAGGCGCAAGGAGGCUCGUCGAGUGGCUUAGGAGCAGCAGAGGUGGCCGGCGUCGUCAUGGCCCGUCGACGACCCGAGGAGGAAGAAGCUUUGACCCGACGCUGCAGCAUGAGGAGCUCCAACGGGUGGCACCAGUGAAUGCAGAGGAAAACGGCGAAGCGGAGGACGCGGUCCUAGGCGGUGGGGGGGCAUGGUGGCCGCGGCGGGAUGAGAUGGCCGGCGAUGCGGGCGCACGACGAGGUGGAUCUGGACGUGAGGGAGAGUGACGAGGGAGAGAGGGGGCGUGGGAAAAU
Molecule: long non-coding RNA, 3426 nt
Filed under: Triticum aestivum (bread wheat)
Lineage: Eukaryota; Viridiplantae; Streptophyta; Magnoliopsida; Poales; Poaceae
Description: long non-coding RNA (TAES_LNC007218)
Source: RNAcentral